GACAUCGUCAAGGGCUGCCUCGGCUCGCUCGACACGGCCGGGAAGAGCACCGGCACCGGGGGCAAGAAGCGCGGGCCGGCGCCCUACAGGAUCUUCAACCUCGGCAACACCUCGCCGGUGACGGUGCCCAACCUGGUGUCCAUCCUGGAGAAGCACCUCCGCGUGAAGGCCAAGAAGAACGUGGUCGAGAUGCCCGGCAAUGGCGACGUGCCAUUCACGCACGCCAACAUCUCCCUCGCGAGGCAGCAGCUCGGCUACAAGCCGACCACCAACCUCGACGUCGGGCUCAAGAAGUUCGUCAAGUGGUACCUCUCCUACUACGGCUACACCAGGGGAUCCAAGAACUUGUGACUAUAAUCCGCCCUAAUUCUUCUGCUAAUUCUUUUCUUUUUCUUUCUUCUUUUUUUCUUCUUAUUCUCUGGCCAUCCAGUGGUCGAUUCCACUCCAGGAUCAAAACAUUAACAUUCUUAUUUCGACUUUUUUUUUGGGGGAAAUAUUUUAGGAUGUUCUUUGGAAUACUGGGGGGAAUUCUUUUCUUGGGGGAGGGGAGGGAGGAAGAAGAAAGCAAUGGAGAGC
Molecule: long non-coding RNA, 576 nt
Filed under: Oryza sativa (Asian cultivated rice)
Lineage: Eukaryota; Viridiplantae; Streptophyta; Magnoliopsida; Poales; Poaceae
Description: long non-coding RNA (OSAT_LNC000457)
Source: RNAcentral